GGGCCCGUAGCUCAGCUGGUAGAGCAACUGACUUUUAAUCAGUAGGUCUCAGGUUCGAACCCUGACGGGCUCACCA
Molecule: transfer RNA, 76 nt
Filed under: Alphaproteobacteria bacterium
Lineage: Bacteria; Pseudomonadati; Pseudomonadota; Alphaproteobacteria
Description: tRNA-Lys
Rfam family: tRNA
About the family: Transfer RNA (tRNA) molecules are approximately 80 nucleotides in length. Their secondary structure includes four short double-helical elements and three loops (D, anti-codon, and T loops).
Source: RNAcentral